UACGUAGGCAGCGAGCGUUGUUCGGAGUUACUGGGCGUAAAGGGUGUGUAGGCGGUUCUUUAAGUUUGGUGUGAAAUCUCCCGGCUCAACCGGGAGGGUGCGCCGAAAACUGGGGGGACUAGAGUGCGGGAUGGGAGAGUAGAAUUCCUGGUGUAGCGGUGAAAUGCGUAGAUAUCAGGAAGAACACCCGUGGCUAAGGCGGCUCUCUAGUACGGUACUGACGCUGAGACGCGAAAGCGUGGGGAGCGAACAGG
Molecule: ribosomal RNA, 254 nt
Filed under: uncultured bacterium
Lineage: Bacteria
Description: partial 16S ribosomal RNA
Rfam family: Bacterial small subunit ribosomal RNA
Source: RNAcentral